UAAAGGCAGCGCAGAGUGCCCUAAAACCCUUCCUUGAGGCAGGAAGAAUGCUAGGAAGGGGGUACUAUGCAAGUGAAGCUUUAGGCUCUGAUGCAGUAAGUUAGAAGCACUGAGGAUGUUUCCAGAUGUUGCUGUACCCCCAGUGAAUCUGUGGGGUUUAGGAGGUGCUGUGGUGGUCCUGCAUGGCCUUUCUGCUCUCAUGAGCCAGGAAAUGGGAUUUUUGCUGCCAGGUAAAUCUGCAUUUUACAAGAAAGAUCACCAGCAGGAUAGAUGUCUCUGAUACGCAUCAAGGGCUCUGAAAUUGUUCCUCUCAACUGAAGGUGACAAAGAAUGUAGGAAAGAAUUCAGUCUGCUUUUCUGCCCGUCCCAGAAUGCUGAUUUCUUUCUUUAGCUGAACUUCUUGAAGAACAAGCUAUUAAAACUCCUUAAGUUGAGGCUCGAUGCCCAUUCAGCUGGCUUCCCUGUGUGCCUCCGUACCUGCUCACCCAGGAGCAUGCUGUGAUCUGCUUUUGUACGGGGAUGCAGCCAACACACACAGAGGAGGGGGGAUUGCUGGAAUUCAUAGAAAGAAAAAAAGAUUAGCAAAAUGUCUCGUGUUGGAAAGCUGCCCCCUGAGUCAAACACCAUAUCCGUGGUUGGAUGAGGUGUAACCCUCCCAGGAGGCUGGCGCUGGGCUGCAGGGCCAAGCUGGGCUCUGCCUCCCGCUUACUGUGAAUAAAA
Oxyura jamaicensis (ruddy duck) is the source of this 720-nucleotide long non-coding RNA. RefSeq lists it as uncharacterized. The transcript has 2 exons. The record is from RefSeq and is a predicted model, not a curated record. Lineage: Eukaryota; Metazoa; Chordata; Aves; Anseriformes; Anatidae.